Molecule: non-coding RNA, 72 nt
Organism: Phrynosoma platyrhinos (Desert horned lizard)
Lineage: Eukaryota; Metazoa; Chordata; Lepidosauria; Squamata; Phrynosomatidae
Source: the annotation of a GenBank genome assembly
GCCAGUGUGGUGUAGUGGUUUAAAUGUUGGACUACAACUCUGGAGAACAGGGUUCAAAUCCAUGUUCAGUCA